AACGAGACCUUAACCUGCUAAAUAGCCCGUAUUGCUUUGGCAGUACGCUGGCUUCUUAGAGGGACUAUCGGCUCAAGCCGAUGGAAGUUUGAGGCAAUAACAGGUCUGUGAUGCCCUUAGAUGUUCUGGGCCGCACGCGCGCUACACUGACGGAGCCAGCGAGUACUUCCUUGUCCGAAAGGUCCGGGUAAUCUUGUGAAACUCU
This 205-nucleotide ribosomal RNA is filed under the name Nectria cinnabarina. Its description in RNAcentral is "partial small subunit ribosomal RNA". It matches the Rfam family "Eukaryotic small subunit ribosomal RNA", at positions 1334 to 1563 of the family's 1831-position model. The record is from RNAcentral. RNAcentral also lists the same sequence under 1 other name. Lineage: Eukaryota; Fungi; Ascomycota; Sordariomycetes; Hypocreales; Nectriaceae.